This 474-nucleotide ribosomal RNA is filed under the name Salmonella enterica. RNAcentral describes it as "bacterial SSU rRNA". It matches the Rfam family "Bacterial small subunit ribosomal RNA", at positions 1 to 473 of the family's 1533-position model. The record is from RNAcentral. Lineage: Bacteria; Pseudomonadati; Pseudomonadota; Gammaproteobacteria; Enterobacterales; Enterobacteriaceae.
AAAUUGAAGAGUUUGAUCAUGGCUCAGAUUGAACGCUGGCGGCAGGCCUAACACAUGCAAGUCGAACGGUAGCACAGAGAGCUUGCUCUCGGGUGACGAGUGGCGGACGGGUGAGUAAUGUCUGGGAAACUGCCUGAUGGAGGGGGAUAACUACUGGAAACGGUGGCUAAUACCGCAUAACGUCGCAAGACCAAAGAGGGGGACCUUCGGGCCUCUUGCCAUCAGAUGUGCCCAGAUGGGAUUAGCUUGUUGGUGAGGUAACGGCUCACCAAGGCGACGAUCCCUAGCUGGUCUGAGAGGAUGACCAGCCACACUGGAACUGAGACACGGUCCAGACUCCUACGGGAGGCAGCAGUGGGGAAUAUUGCACAAUGGGCGCAAGCCUGAUGCAGCCAUGCCGCGUGUAUGAAGAAGGCCUUCGGGUUGUAAAGUACUUUCAGCGGGGAGGAAGGUGUUGUGGUUAAUAACCGCAGC